CCCCCCACUUCCAGGUGUCAUUGUAAUAUAUCCCCCCCACUUCCAGGUGUCAUUGUAAUAUUUUCCCCCACUUUCAGGUGCCAUUGUAACAUAUCCCCCCC
Molecule: long non-coding RNA, 101 nt
Organism: Nanorana parkeri
Lineage: Eukaryota; Metazoa; Chordata; Amphibia; Anura; Dicroglossidae
Exons: 3
Source: RefSeq, a predicted model, not a curated record